GUACACUCCUACGGGAGGCAGCAGUGGGGAAUUUUGGACAAUGGGCGCAAGCCUGAUCCAGCCAUGCCGCGUGCGGGAAGAAGGCCUUCGGGUUGUAAACCGCUUUUGUCAGGGAAGAAAAGGUUCUGGCUAAUACCUGGGACUCAUGACGGUACCUGAAGAAUAAGCACCGGCUAACUACGUGCCAGCAGCCGCGGUAAUACGUAGGGUGCAAGCGUUAAUCGGAAUUACUGGGCGUAAAGCGUGCGCAGGCGGUUAUGCAAGACAGAGGUGAAAUCCCCGGGCUCAACCUGGGAACUGCCUUUGUGACUGCAUGGCUAGAGUACGGUAGAGGGUGAUGGAAUUCCGCGUGUAGCAGUGAAAUGCGUAGAUAUGCGGAGGAACACCGAUGGCGAAGGCAAUCCCCUGGACCUGUACUGACGCUCAUGCACGAAAGCGUGGGGAGCAAACAGGAUUAGAUACCCGGGUAGUCCC
RNAcentral lists this ribosomal RNA (474 nucleotides) under uncultured organism. Its description in RNAcentral is "partial 16S ribosomal RNA". It matches the Rfam family "Bacterial small subunit ribosomal RNA", at positions 331 to 797 of the family's 1533-position model. The record is from RNAcentral.